This 292-nucleotide ribosomal RNA is filed under the name uncultured bacterium. Its description in RNAcentral is "partial 16S ribosomal RNA". It matches the Rfam family "Bacterial small subunit ribosomal RNA", at positions 505 to 796 of the family's 1533-position model. The record is from RNAcentral.
GUGUCAGCCGCCGCGGUAAUACAGAGACUGCAAGCGUUAUUCGGAUUCACUGGGCGUAAAGGGUGCGCAGGCGGCCAAGUGUGUGAGGCGUGAAAGCCCGAUGCUCAACAUCGGAAUUGCACCUCAAACUACAUGGCUAGAGCAUUGGAGAGGGUAGCGGAAUUCACGGUGUAGCAGUGAAAUGCGUAGAUAUCGUGAGGAACACCAGAGGCGAAGGCGGCUACCUGGACAAUUGCUGACGCUCAGGCACGAAAGCGUGGGGAGCAAAAGGGAUUAGAAACCCUAGUAGUCC